AGUGAACGCUGGCGGUAGGCCUAACACAUGCAAGUCGAACGGCAGCACAGUAAGAGCUUGCUCUUACGGGUGGCGAGUGGCGGACGGGUGAGGAAUACAUCGGAAUCUACUUUUUCGUGGGGGAUAACGUAGGGAAACUUACGCUAAUACCGCAUACGACCUACGGGUGAAAGCAGGGGAUCUUCGGACCUUGCGCGAUUGAAUGAGCCGAUGUCGGAUUAGCUAGUUGGCGGGGUAAAGGCCCACCAAGGCGACGAUCCGUAGCUGGUCUGAGAGGAUGAUCAGCCACACUGGAACUGAGACACGGUCCAGACUCCUACGGGAGGCAGCAGUGGGGAAUAUUGGACAAUGGGCGCAAGCCUGAUCCAGCCAUACCGCGUGGGUGAAGAAGGCCUUCGGGUUGUAAAGCCCUUUUGUUGGGAAAGAAAAGCAGCAGGUUAAUACCCCGCUGUUCGGACGGUACCCAAAGAAUAAGCGCCGGCUAACUGCGU
RNAcentral lists this ribosomal RNA (491 nucleotides) under uncultured bacterium. RNAcentral describes it as "partial 16S ribosomal RNA". It matches the Rfam family "Bacterial small subunit ribosomal RNA", at positions 29 to 506 of the family's 1533-position model. The record is from RNAcentral.